RNAcentral lists this ribosomal RNA (465 nucleotides) under uncultured Klebsiella sp. Its description in RNAcentral is "bacterial SSU rRNA". It matches the Rfam family "Bacterial small subunit ribosomal RNA", at positions 338 to 795 of the family's 1533-position model. Lineage: Bacteria; Pseudomonadati; Pseudomonadota; Gammaproteobacteria; Enterobacterales; Enterobacteriaceae. The record is from RNAcentral.
CCUACGGGAGGCAGCAGUGGGGAAUAUUGCACAAUGGGCGCAAGCCUGAUGCAGCCAUGCCGCGUGUGUGAAGAAGGCCUUCGGGUUGUAAAGCACUUUCAGCGGGGAGGAGGGCGGUGAGGUUAAUAACCUCAUCGAUUGACGUUACCCGCAGAAGAAGCACCGGCUAACUCCGUGCCAGCAGCCGCGGUAAUACGGAGGGUGCAAGCGUUAAUCGGAAUUACUGGGCGUAAAGCGCACGCAGGCGGUCUGUCAAGUCGGAUGUGAAAUCCCCGGGCUCAACCUGGGAACUGCAUUCGAAACUGGCAGGCUAGAGUCUUGUAGAGGGGGGUAGAAUUCCAGGUGUAGCGGUGAAAUGCGUAGAGAUCUGGAGGAAUACCGGUGGCGAAGGCGGCCCCCUGGACAAAGACUGACGCUCAGGUGCGAAAGCGUGGGGAGCAAACAGGAUUAGAUACCCGAGUAGUC